UUUCGUAUUUUUCAGCCAAAUGGAUGGACAUAAUUUUGUGAUUCAGACUGUGUAGCAGUGUUACCAGUUUUUGUUCAAUUAAUCCAGGAAGACUGAAUAACAUAAAUCCGCAAAUCACAUUUGAGAAACAUCUUUCCAAGUCUAUAUAUUAAAAAAAAAAAGAGGCAAUCAACCUUUGCCAGUUGCAUUCAAAUACUGGGUUUGGAAAGGAUAAACCGACUGAAUAGUCAGAAUGUGAACCACUGAAGGGAGACAAGUUGGAGAGGAAGCUGGUACAUUACUCACGAAUGAAUCAGACAUCCCCUCCCUCCGUGUUUGAAAAUGUCCUCGGCAUAAAGCAUGGUACAAUUCCAAACGAGGAACUAUGCUCAGGAUUGGAUUUAUAUGACUGAUCAGUUUCCUCUGCUGUUAUCGAAAGCAGAUAUCAAAUGGCUGUGGAGGAAUGCAGGUGAUUGGAGUUGGUCCAAAGGGAAGUUGUGAGUUCUGGGAGGCAGAAGGAAAGCAGCUGCCAUGUUCUGAAGGUUAUCAGCACCUGUUGGUGAUAGAAACAGACACAGAGGUGUUAGCAGGUUCCUGUUUGUCCUCGCACCCCCCUCCCUCCUGAUGGUGACCUUGUCCCAGGUCUUCUACCAGGCCUUCUACCAGAUGCUUUGCUGAGAAUUCACAGAGGCCGUAGACCUGAAGAACCAACAACCUUCCAUAGGCUUUGAGGUCCCACUCCGGCAGCAGGACGUGCUGGCUCCCAGGAAUCACUGACAUCAAGGCGUGUAAAAUAACACAAAGAGGUUUGCAAAGUCCAGCUGAAGGGAGCCGGAGCGUCCUGUUUUUACCAUCACGCUUCGUUGUUCACGUUGCUUGUGUGUAAAACAGGGUACAGUAUUUAGAAACGGUGAAGGAAAUGACUGGCCUAAAACUCUUGUGAUUCAGUGACUCAAGGAUGAUUGACACUGUGUAAAAACAGGCACAUUAGACCAAGAG
RNAcentral lists this long non-coding RNA (978 nucleotides) under Homo sapiens (human). RNAcentral's name for it is "HSALNT0127773". The record is from RNAcentral. Lineage: Eukaryota; Metazoa; Chordata; Mammalia; Primates; Hominidae.